AAGAAGGAAAGGAAAUGUCAGCUGUAGCCACAGAAAAGCAAAAGCAUUUGUUCCAGGAAUACCUUCAUAAAGACCACAUUAACAAAUGAUGGAUGUUCCAGGAGAGAAAAGUUCACAGUGUCCUGGAACUAUUUAUAUACUUUGAUACAAAAUAAAAUCUGGUGAGGCCCUGGAACAGGUUGCCCAGAGAAGCUGUGGGUGCCCCAACCCUGGAAGUGUUCAAGGCCAGGCUGGAUGGAACUUUGAGCAGAAACUCUGUGGAAAAGGAGCAAAGACAAUUCAGAUGGCUGUGAAAGUGAAGACUAUGUGGGAAAUCAUGCAAGAGAUACAUUGCCUGCAGAAUGGGGAAAAACAUUAAAUCUUGGAGUUGCUGAUGCAGCAAUUAAUAUUGCAACCUUCACUGCCUUCAACGCACGGAAGAAAAGGACACAGACUCAUCUUCCAACCAGUCAGAAACUUUAACACCUACUCUUCAUUAUCCAGUAUUUAUACCGCCAGAUUGGACUUUCAUAUGGAAGCCUGGAGCAAUGCUGGUACAGAUGGCAAGAUGACUCUCAAGAGAUUGAUGACUCUGAAGAAAUACACAGUAUUAAGUCAGAAGGUGCAAAUGUUAACAUUCCAGUGUAGAAAAGAAAUAUUCCUUGCAUACGCUUCCCAGGUUUGUUUUCUCAUGCAUUACAAAGAGAAAGAAAAAGCCCUCGACACACCUCGUAGCUGGCAAACGAAUGAUAAAUUUACUUUAGUUUCUUUUGUAUGUCAACUGUUCAUGCCUCAGGUACUUAACCUUUACUUUAAAAACAUGGUUCAGAUCCUAGCCUUGAAGGUGGGUGGGAAGGGGGGGAUGGUAUUCCUGUAAAUGUUUCAUUUAACAAAGGCAGUACUAUAAGAAGGUUCAGUGGUGAGACUCUGAAUGGUAUUUAUUGUUUCAGAUUUCAGGGCUCCCAUACAUCUGCUGCCUGUCAAAGGCAGAUACCACAUUCAUAAAACAAGUGCCCUGUCUGAAGAAAAAAAAAAGAAAAAAAAAAAAGGACUCUCUUCUCUGUACCUCAGCCUCCAGGAUUAUGUGAGAUGGGAGGUUGCAAGAAGUAGAAGUUCUAAUUUGCCCUAAAGAUGAUCAACAAAAAAAUCUCCUUUUAUUAAAAAAAGAAAGUAAAUUUUACUUUUUUUUUAUAAAAAUGUUUGUGGGCCCAGAUGCAGCAAAGCAUUUUAAGAACAACCCCUAUUCAGAAAAACUCUUAAACAUGUUCUUAUGUGUUUCCAUGCUCAGCAGAGUGCCUAAGAACUUCCUUAGCUGAAGCAGAGACCUAAAGAAGAACCAUUUCUAUUUACACUAACUAAGCAGCUCAUUUUACCAGGCCCAUUACAUGAUUCCUGACUUUAUUAGGUCUGGAAUGUAUAUUUCACCCAUGGUGAGAAACAUGCUCAUUCAUUUCUUAUGAUAUCAUAGUCUUCUCCAUGGUAAUCUGGUGCUAUGUGAGGAAAAACAAUAGAAGAGAAAACUUUUCAUGCCGAGAUGAAGACGGAUAAGGAAUUAUGUUCAGCCGGGUGGGAGAAUAUAUAAGAGGAACAAAACCACAGAGCCUCUGAUUCUGAGGAUCUGAUUUAUUUAGUAUCUGGCAUUGGCCAUAAAGUGUGGGCAAUGAAAAGAGGAGCUGACCUCAAUGCCUCCUUAGCAGCAAUCAGAAAUUCAUUUCAGUGUGUGAGCAUUUAAUUAGCUUCACUGAGUUUACAAGACCUUCAGUCAUUUUAAGAUACUCGAGGCAACUAUGCCACACAUAAGAUUACCCUGAAUCUGGAAUGCCAGCCACUUAGGAGGAAUGUCUGGAGAGUUUUAAUUGAAGGGGACUCCUUUGUUUUUAUAUCCAUUUGAUGUGCCAUUACCAUUUCCUCCACCACUAAUUUACACCGAGGGACUCAACUACUCCAAACAAUUGUUUUAAUCAGUAAAUCACAGAAAACCUUCAAGAAAGUUUAAGGUUGUUCUGUGUCUAUGAAAAGUCAAAUGGCACCAUUAAAUUUUUAAAGCUAAUCUAAUCGUUACACAGUGCAGCCACUGCACCACUUCAGGCAUCUGGGGAGAGUCAUCACCUUCCCCUUUUUUACAGAAGACCUGAAAUAUAUCUGCUGCAUGCAUUUAUUGCAUGCAUACAAUAAAUAUAUAUGGAAUGGGAUUAACUAACA
Molecule: long non-coding RNA, 2181 nt
Organism: Cyanistes caeruleus (blue tit)
Lineage: Eukaryota; Metazoa; Chordata; Aves; Passeriformes; Paridae
Source: Ensembl